RNAcentral lists this ribosomal RNA (422 nucleotides) under uncultured Glomeraceae. RNAcentral describes it as "SSU rRNA". It matches the Rfam family "Eukaryotic small subunit ribosomal RNA", at positions 459 to 886 of the family's 1831-position model. The record is from RNAcentral. Lineage: Eukaryota; Fungi; Glomeromycota; Glomeromycetes; Glomerales; Glomeraceae.
GGGAGGUAGUGACAAUAAAUAACAAUACGGGGCUCUUUCGGGUCUCGUAAUUGGAAUGAGUACAAUUUAAAUCUCUUAACGAGGAACAAUUGGAGGGCAAGUCUGGUGCCAGCAGCCGCGGUAAUUCCAGCUCCAAUAGCGUAUAUUAAAGUUGUUGCAGUUAAAAAGCUCGUAGUUGAAUUUCGGGAUUAGUACGCUGGUCGUGCCUUCGGUACGUACUGGUGUUACUGAUUCCUACCUUCUGACGAACCAUCAUGUCAUUAGUUUGGUGUGGUGGGGAAUCAGGACUGUUACUUUGAAAAAUUAGAGUGUUUAAAGCAAGCAUUAGCUUGAAUACAUUAGCAUGGAAUAAUGAAGUAGGACGUUUGAUCCUAUUUCGUUGGUUUCUAGGAUCGACGUAAUGAUUAAUAGGGAUAGUUGGG